This 3966-nucleotide long non-coding RNA is filed under the name Homo sapiens (human). RNAcentral describes it as "non-protein coding lnc-TGFBRAP1-1:14". The record is from RNAcentral. Lineage: Eukaryota; Metazoa; Chordata; Mammalia; Primates; Hominidae.
GAAAGAAUUCUGGCUCCGAGGGCCGGUGUACAGUGCUUUAAAUAUGGCAGUGGUUAUGUGUGAAAUUAUCGUGUUUUUCUGUUUAACCUGUUUCUUGUCUCUUCAUCGCCUUUCUAUAUAAUUACUAGCUACUCGGGAGGCUGAGGUGGUAGGAUCACUGGCGCCCAGCAAUUCCAGCCUGCAGUUAGGAUUACCACACUGCACUUCAGCCUGAGCGGCAGAAUGGGACCAUGUCUGAAAAAAUAAAUAAAAAAUAAAACCUGAAGCCUUAAACUUCAUCUGCAAAAAUGUUUUGUGGCAGGUGACUCUGAAGCAGAACUCUUGAGAUGGAAGGAUUGUCAUCUGAGGAAAAAAAAUCAAGAUUAAGAGAGGAGGAACUAGAAUGAGAUUCACAUACCGUCUCUCCUCCAAGGGAAGGAGAGAGUGGUGAUGCCUGCCCACUCCUUCCUGGGCAGAACAUUUGUAGCAUGGAACAUUGGAGAAUUUGCAGUCUGCUGACUUUCUGAUUUAGGAGGUUGAUGGGGAGGCCUUAUAAUUUGCAUUUCUAACAAGUUCUGAGGUGAUGCUUCAAGUAUGUCCAGGCAGAAGGGCUGCCUCACAGAGAAUUCUGCCAUACCACAUGGGAAUUGAAGUCACAGACAUCUCUAACCCUCAAGCCUGAAACCAAAAGACUGAAAACCAACACUACAGUGGACAAAGAACAUCUCUGAACUUGUGUGGGGACCAGUGACACAAGGACCUAAGGUCUCUCUCUUCUCAUCUUGGCACUUCAGAAGUCUCCCCAAUCUUGACAAAGCCCUGGAGAAAGGGCCGGGCCUCCCGUUGAUAAGAAUAUCACUGCAGAUAAAUGGAGGUUUCAAAUUGAAAGAAAGGAGGAGGGCCUCCUGUUGAUAAGAUUAUUGUCACUGCAGGUAAAUGGAGGCUUCAAAUAGAAAUACAUUUCAGUUACAGAAAAAAAAAUUAUCUUUGUUACACAUUUGAGUUUGCAGGCCUAAGGUUACUCCCGCUACACUAUCAUCUGUAACCAUAACGCACUCAACAUUUUAAGCUAACUAUAAGGAUUGUUGCUUCACUCAAAGAUCCUGAGGUUUUAUUCACUAACAUUUUUAUUUGGUGACUAUAGUUGACAAGAACAAAGCUGUGGGGAACCAACAAACACUGCAAUGCCUGGCAUUGUCACCUCACUAGAUUGUGAGUUCCUCUGGGACAGGGUCCGUACAUUUUCUUAGAAUCCCUCACUUAGCCAUUAGCCUGCACAGUGCUUGUACUUAGUAAGUGCUCAGUAAAUGUUUGUGGAAUGAAUGCAUGAUGAACAAAAUAUAUACUGAGGACUCUUGGUGUUGAUUCUUGUUGAUAAUGUAAUAGUUAAGAUAUGUUAUAAAUAUGUUAUAAAUAUUGUAUCAAAAUAUUGUAUCAAAAAUAUACUUGAACAGGCUGGGCGUGGUGGCUCACACUUGUAAUCCCAGCCCUUUAGGAGGCUGAGGUGGGUGGAUCACUUGAGGUCAGGAGUUCGAGACCAGACUGGCCAACAUGGUAAAACCCCAUCUCCACUAAAAAAAAACAAAAGUUAACUGGGCAUGGUUGUGGGUGACUGUAAUCCCAGCUACUCAGGAGGCUGAGGCAGGAGAAUCGCUUGAACCCGGGAGGUAGAGGUUGCAGUGAACCAAGAUCGCACCACUGCACUCUAGGGGACAGAGCAAGACGCCUCAAAAAAAAAAAUGUAUAUAUAUAGUAUAUACAUACACAUGAGCAUAAAGGAGCUUCAAUGUGAAGGUAAUAAUUUAAGCAACAUUUCACAUUUUGGACCUGUGUUGUUAGCUAUUUAGAACAGUUAAACUACUAGCUUGCUUUUAAAUCCAUUGUCUUAGUCAUUUCAAGUUGUUAUAACAAAAUACCAUACACUGAGUAGUUUAUAAACAACAGAAUGCAUUUCUCUCAAUUCUGGAGGCUGGGAAGUCCAAGAUCAAGGUGCUGGCAGAUUGUGUGUAGUGAAGAUCCAUUCAUCAGAGAUGGCACCUUCUCGUUGUGUCCUCACAUGGUGGAUGGGGCAACAGGCUCUCUUAGGCUUCUUUUAUAAGGGCAAUAAUUCAUGAAGUUUCCACACUUAUGAUAGAAUUACCUCCUAGAGGCCCCACUUCCAAAUACCAUCACCUUGAGGGUUAGGUUUCAACAUACAAAUUUUGGAGGUACACAUUCAGAUGAUGACAGCACUCAUAGGUUACCUUUCAUCUUUGGGUUCUCAGUGCCUGCUACAACAGCACAAGAACAGUAAGUGUGUGCUGAAUGAAUACAGAUGAAUGAACCUUUCCCCAUCCUCAGAUACUUCCCAACUGAGCUCCACUAUCACCAAACUUCUAGAGCACAUUAUUUUUUGCCUUAUGAUCUCGUUAGGUGGGUUUUUCUUGCACAUACCACACUAAUCCAGUGGUCCUCAAAAUUGUGUGCCCAUUAGAAUCCUCUGGAGGGGUUGUAAAAAUAGUUUGCUGGGUCCUAACCCCAGAGUUUCUGAUUUAGGAGGUUUGGGAUGGGGACACCAAAAUUUGCAUUUCUAACAAGUCCAGAGGUGAUGUUGAUACUGCUGGCUACCAACUCUACCUUAUAAACCAUUGCCCAUUAAACUCUUGAGGGUAGAGACUGUCUUCCUCAUUUCAGUAUCUGCUGAAGCCUCUGGCAUAGUACCUGGCACAUAGGAGCUGCUAAAGAAGUAGUUGAUUGAACAAUAGUUCAAAAAAGUUUAUUUUACUGAAGCUAGAUUACAAGUAUAUGAAUGUGUGUGUAUAUGUGAUUAAAUGAGCUAUUACAUGUAAAAGCUCUUAAAACAUGGCACAUAGUAAGCUGUUGCUUUAAAAAAAAUAAAAAAUGUAACCUUUCUUUGCUUAUAUUCUAAAAUGACACCAACCAUCCUACAUGUGUGCUCUUAAAUAGCUUAUAUAUUAGAAUAAUGGAAUCUUAGUACUAAAGGCUGGAUGUGGUUGCUCAUGCCUGUAAUCCCAGCACCUUGGGAAGCCGAGGUGGGUGGAUCACUUGAGGUCAGGAGUUCAAGACCAACCUGUUCAAUAUGGUAAAACCCUGUCUCUACUAAAAAUACAAAAAUUAGCCCUGCGUGGUGGUGCAUGCCUGUAGUCGCAGAUACUUAGGAGGCUGAGGCAGGAGAAUUGCUUGAACCUGGGAGGUAGAGGUUGCAGUGAGCUGAGAAGAUUGUACCACUGCACUCCAGCCUGGGCAAAAGAGACUGUCUAAAAAAAAAAAAAAAAAGUAAUCUAGUUAAUAUUUCAAUAUUGAGCAUCAAGAAUUUUUAAAAAUUGGUUGAGUGUUUUCUACAUGCAGAAAGAUACAGCAGAGAGCAUAGACACAAUCCUUGCCCUCCCAAGCGUAUACCCAGCGAGAAAGUGAGAAGCACAGAGUAUGUGUAAGCAUAAAAAUACUAAGUUUUGAGAGUAGACAGCAACUAUGAAAAUAUUCAGUUAUAUCGAUGCAACUCAGUCUUCAUUAAUUGUUCUCAUCGGAGCACAUCUUUUUCACAUUCUGUAAAGUAACGCUCGGUAUGGGCCCAAGGAAUAUUUAAUAAAUAUUUAAAAAUGAAGUUAAUAAUUGUUUUGAAAGCCAUAUGGUUGAUAUUUCUUCUUAAAUGUAACCAAUAGAAACAACAUAAGGAAUUUGGCCUGUGCAUAUAUUUGCACAUUUAUGGUACAGGCAUUUACAUGGAGGUGCCUGUCAUUUGUGACACAGACUUCUCAUCAAGUUUCAGAAGGAACAGAUGUUUCUAGAUGGAAUAAUAUGGAGCUUGCCAUUGUAAGAAUCCUGUAAUAAAUCCUUUCAUAAAAUAAAUAUAUCUGAAUUAUCUCUUGUUAUACAUUUUCACUCCUGGAUCAUCUAAAGUAGAACACAAAGAUUGUUCAUAAACUAUUCAUUCAAAACAACUUUAUAUAAAAAGAAUUACUGUUGCUGAAUUCUGGAUUCUUAUUG